Pan troglodytes (chimpanzee) is the source of this 10423-nucleotide long non-coding RNA. RefSeq lists it as uncharacterized. The transcript is spliced from 2 exons. The record is from RefSeq and is a predicted model, not a curated record. NCBI's taxonomy places the organism in Eukaryota, Metazoa, Chordata, Mammalia, Primates, Hominidae.
GUCCCGCCCCCUCCAUAGGCCCCGCCCCGGUCAGCUCACGCCCCGCCCCCGGCCCCGCCUCCUGCCGCCAGGGCGCGCAGCCGAGGGGUAUGGGGUCGCUGCACCUACCCCCAACUUGGCGCGUUUCGGCCAGGACCUCAGGGCCCAGGUGCACCGUGCUGGGCGCGGGAGGCGUCCCCAAGCUGCUGUCGCGCUCCGAGCCCCCGAGGAGGUGGCAGCAGGGCCGCGCCUGAGGACAGGCAUGCAGCGUCUGCCCAGGAGUGCAGCCCGGGUGCCGGGAGAACAACCCAUUCCUCCCUCCCUCAAGCACCUUGGACAAUCUGGGAGGGCUCCCCAAAGGAGGUGAGCACCUUGGACAAUCCGGGAGGGCUUCCUGAAGGAGUUGAUGCCACAGUGGUUGGCUUUGCAAAGACAGCAAGCUUUGCUCACAUUGCUCUCUGGGGCUGGAACCUGGGCAGGCAUGAGGCCCCCUAGUCAGUGUUGGCCUCAAGGUCCUAGUACAGGCAACCAAUCCCUGUCUCACGGAAGGGGAGAAUUGCUGACCCAUGCUGCGGGAGUCUGCAUCUGAAAAGGUCACUGGGGCCUGAGAGGGCAGCUCCCAGAACAGUGUGAAGUGUCCAGGAGGCCAGAGACACCUAUAGGAGAACCUCCAGAUAUUGCAUCUAUUUCGUCUACCUCCUGGUUGUGUCGUGCCCCAGGGAUGCCAGCCUCACACCGUGGCUCUUCCGGAAGGUGUGGGGCCAGGCCUGCUGCACUUACUGCUUUGGGCUAAUGAUUCAGAGAGUGAAGGGUGCUUUCUCCCCAGAGGAAGGAGCGAAGGCCUUUGCAGGAGAUGACACACUGACGAAGGUUUCCCAUGCCCUCUCCAAGAAAACUGAUGGACAACAGGGCUGCAUCCUGGGCGGGGGCUUACCUGGGAACCACGUGGGACCAGGUCCGGAGAACCAUCCUCUAGCCAGCUCAUCUUAGAGCCAGCUCGUCGUCCAACCCAGUGCUAGCUGAUAGAACCUUCUGCAACGAUGGGAAUGUUCUGUAACUGGAUAACCCCAGUAGAUGACUACUGGGUACUGGAAAUGUGGCCACAAGGAACCGAAUUUUUCAUUGUGUUUCAUCGUAAUUUAAAUUCACAUGGCCCUGGGUGGCCAGUAGCGCUCACAUUGGACAGAACAGCUCUAUCAUCAUCAUCUGUGCUCUACCGGUUUUCUUGGUGGUUAAUUUGUAAACUGGUUUUGGCUUCAUGCCUGCGUAAGAACUGCAAGCACUAGUAGUUUAUGCCUGGUUUUACGUUUUGUGCCUGUCAAAGUGACAUUAUAAGAAAAGACACUAUAUGGUCACUUGAGAGUCUUCGAGGAUUCUUUUUGUUUAGAAGGGAAUGGAAAAGAGUUCCAGUGUGAGGAAACAUUUCUCUGGAUGUCCUGGACACCUGCUCUCCCAUCAGCUCCCUGCUGUCCCCAGUGAUGGGGACAUUUCCCGUUAACGGUGUGGGCUGUGUCCUCAGCAGGGGGCGGUAGGUGGAGGGAGACACUGACUCCACUCUCAGGAAGUGGAAGGAGGGGGCAGAUCCAUGCACACUGUGUCCUUGACCACCAGCCUCAGAAGCAGGCCAUGCCUGGCCAGCAGCCAGCCUGCCUGUCCUCUUCAGCCAUGCAUCAAAUAUUUAGUGGGUGCCUGCUGUGUGCCAGGCACUGUUCCAGGCCCUGGCUGUGGGAGCCAGGCAGCAGACCCCUCCCCUUGAGGAUCUGCAACUCUGGCGGAGAUGACAGGUGUCACAGCACGAUGGUCAUAUCAGUGCUGGGGAGGGACGGAAUUCCUAGGAUGCUUGCUAGAGGGUCACGGGGUUGGGGCACUCCUCAACCACGGGGCUGAGGCACUCCAAGUGCAGAGGCUUGGAAGAGCCACAGUGGAUCCAGGCCCUGAUGCCUGAGAAGGAGCCAGCUAGGCAGAGCCGGGGAGGAGCACUCCAGACAGACAGCAAUGAACCAUCCAAAAAUGAAGUGAAGAAGACAAUCUCAUUUAUAAUAUUGGCAAAAAGAACAUACCUAGAAAUAAAUGCAGCAAAAGAUGCAUAAAACUUGUGUACUGAAAAAUACAAAAUAUUUUUGAAAGGAAUCAAAGAGUAUCAAAUUAAAUGGAAAGAUAUCCUGCAGUCAUGGAUCAGGAGACAUAAUGUUAAGAUGGCCAAACUCCCGAAUUCAUCUAUAGCUUCACAAUCUCUAUCAAAAUCCCAUCUGUCUUUUUACAAGCUGAUGCUCAAAUUCAUAAGGAAAUACAAGGGUUUCAGAAUAGCCAAAACAAUCUAGAAAGAGAAGAGCAAAACUGGAGGGCUCACAUUUCCUGAUUGAAACUUACUGCAAAGCUACAGUAAUCAAGACAAUGUGGUACUGGCAUAAGGAUAGACAUACAGAUCAAUGCAGUAAAGUUGAGACUCCAAGAACAAAUCUUUGCAUUUAUGGUCAAUUGAUUUUUUUAAAGACUGUUCAAGUGCAGCAGUGAGAAGGCGGGAAAGAGUAGAACGAGGUGUUCCAUCUGUAACUGACUGUGAACAAUCAAUUGAGAUAACUCACUACCUUCAGACCGGCCAUCAGUUGAUUUUUGAUAAGGGUACCAAGACAAUUCAAUGGGGGAAGGAAUAGUCUUUUCGGAAAAUGGUGCUGGGACAACUAGAUAUCCAUGUGCAAAAGAAUGAAGUUGGACCCCUACCUCAUGCUGUGCACAAAAAUUAACUCAAAAUGGAUCGUAGACCUAAAUGUAAGCACUAAAAUUAUGAAAUCCUUAGGAAGGCCAGGCGCAGUGGCUCACACCUGUAAUCCCAGCAGUUUGGGAGGCUGAGGCAAGUGGAUCACCUGAGAUCAGGAGUUUGAGUCCAGCCUGGCCAACAUGGUGAAACCAUGUCUCUGCUAAAAACACAAAAAUUAGCUGGGCAUGGUGGUGGGCGCCUGUAAUCCCAGCUACUCGGGAGGCUGAGGCAGAAGAAUCGCUUGAACCCAGGAGGCAGAGGUUGCAGUGAGCUGAGAUUGUGCCAUUGCACUCCAGCUUUGGCGACAGAGAGACACUUUGUCUCAAAAAAAAAAAAAAAGAAAAAAGAAAAAAAAGAAAAGAAAAAAUAAAAUCCUUAGGAAAGAACAUAGGAAUAAAUCUUGGUGACCUUGUGUUAAACAAUGGUUUUUAAUAUACACUACCAAAAGCACAGGCAACAAAAGAAAAAAUAGAUAAAUUGGACUUGGCCAAAGCUAAAAACAUUUGUGCAUCAAAAGACACCAUCAAGGAAGUGGAAAGACAACCCAUGAAAUGACAGCAAACAUUUGUGAAUCAUCUAUUUGAUAAGGGACUAGUAUCUAAACAUGUAAAGAACUCUAACUUAUCAACAAGAAGACAAACCACCUACCUUUAAUGAUGGGCAAAGGAUUAGAAUAGAGCUUGCUCCAAAGAAGAUGUACAUAUGACCGAUAAGCUCAUAAAAAGAUGUCCCCAUCAUUAGUCAUCAGGGAAAUGCAAAUCAAAACACAGCGAGAUACCACGAUGCACCCAUCAAGAUGGCUAUAAAUAAAAGAGACAGACAAUAACAAGUGUUGGCAGAGGUAUGGAGAAGUUGGAACCCUCCUUCAUUGCUGGUGGGAAUGCAAAAUAGUGCAGCCACUUCGGAAAACAGACUGACUGUUUCUCAAAAUGCUAAAUAUAGAGUUUCCAUAAAAAUCAGCAAUUCCAGUCCUAGAUAUACGUGUGUGUGUGUGUGUGUGUGUAUCCAAGAGAAAUGAAAGCAUAUGUCUGUAUAACAGUAUGCACAUGCAUGUUCAUAGCAGUACUGGUUUGUUUUGUUUUGUUUUGUUUUGUUUUUUGAGACAGAGUCUUGCUCUGUUGCCCAGGCUGGAGUGCAGUGGCGCGAUCUUGGCUCACUGCAACCUCUGCCCCCCGGAUUCAAGAGAUUCCCCUGCCUCAGCCUCCUGAGUAGCUGAGAUUACAGGCACGCACCACCAUGCCUGGCUAAUUGUUGUAUUUUUAGUAGAGAUGGGGGUUUCACCAUGUUGGCCAGGCUGGUCUCAAACUCUUGGCCUCAAGUGAUCCACCUGCCUCAUCCUCCCAAAGCGCUAGGAUUACAGGCAUGAGCAACUGCACGCAGCCAGCACUAGUUUUAAUAGCUAAAAAGUGGGAACAAUUCAAAUGUUCAUCAAUGAAUAAAUAAAUAAACAAAAUAUCGGUCUAUGCAUACAGUGGAAUAUUAUUCAGCCAUAACAAUGAAUGAAGUACCGAUACAAGCUACAACAUGGAUGAACUUUGAGGGUAUGAUGCUGAGGGAAAGAAGCCAAACCCAAAAGACCAUUGUGAUUCCAUUUUUUUCAAGUGUUUAGAAUGGGCAAAUUAAUAGAGAUGGAAAGUAGAUUGGUGAGUGGCUGCCUGGGGCUUCGUGGACUGGAUGGGGAGUGGCUGCUAACAGGUGCCUACGGGGUUCUGUCUUUGGGAUGUUGAAAAUGUUCUAAAAGUAGGCAGUGGUGAUGGUUGCACAAUUCUGAGACUACUCUAAAGUCACACCAACUAAGUCUACAGUUUAUGCUAAGUUUUAUGUCAUGAGAAUUUUAUCUCAAAAAAGGUAUAAAAGACCUUCCAAAGGCCAGGUGCAGUGGCUCACGCCUGUAAUCCCAGCACUUUGGGAGGCCGAGAUGGGCAGAUCAUGAGGUCAGUAUAUCGAGACCAUCGUGGCUAACACGGUGAAACCCCGUCUCUACUAAAAAUACAAAAAAAUUAGCCUGGCACAAUGGCGGGUGCCUGUAGUCCCAGCUACUCGGGAGGCUGAGGCAGGAGAAUGGCGUGAACCCAGGAGGCGGAGCUUGCAGUGAGCCGAGAUCGCGCCACUGCACUCCAGCCUGGGGAACAGAGCGAGACUCCAUCUCAUAACAAAAAACAAACAAUCUUCCAAAAUACCAAUAAAACCAACCAACAGAGAAGGGCUUCAGAUGUGUGUUGCUGGAGGCAGUGGGCUGGGGAGGCUGAGGCUGUGGGCUGGGGAGGCUGGAGGCGGCCACCCUUCGUCAGGGACAUAUUUGCCUUCCUCCAGUUGGUCUUGAGUUGGGGGCAAAAAUAGGGAACCUGGCAGCCGUUAGCCGUGGCCUGAGUCUCUGGGGUGAUUGCUACAGAGGUGUGGUUUGGCUUCCAGGCUUCUCAGGGGUCAGAGUUCUACUGACAUACGUGAUCCGGCCGCUGCCCGCUGGCAUGGUUAGUCUUUCCUCCUUGUGUAGAAAGCCAGGAUAAAAACUGCCCUAUGUCCAGCAUUGACAGGCAGGGCUGAGUGCCAUCUGGGGCCUGGGGCACAUGUGUAGCUAUCUUCUCCAGGGGCUCCUGGCUGGCACUAUUCUUGCCCAGGGGGCCCUGCCCUUGUAGGGCUCCCAGUCUAGAGGGGGAAAACAUGAAAUAGGUGGACACGUCAGUCAAUUCAAGAAUUUGGGGUAGUGACCCCAGCUACAGAGAAACCAAGAGGUAGUGGGAAAAGGGAUGAUUUGGGGCCUAGCAGUCAGGACCAAGCACGCCGGGCAGGGACACUGCUCUGAGACCUUUGCCUGACACUUGGGGGAUGAGGGGGCCCUUCCAGGCCCCAGGUAUAGCAAAGGCCCAAGGCCAGAGAGUGCUGGAGGGGACCCUGGGGCGAGGCGGGGCUGGGAGCCUCCGUUACUGCGCGGGUGCUCAAAGGUGUGGAGCCCUGGGGGACAGGGCACGCAGGGCCCGAGUCGUGCUUUCAAACCUCUCUGGUCGAAGGGCAAGAACAGACCUUGGGGCCAGAUGGGAAGCAGGAAGACCAGUGAUUGCUUCCUGCAGGGGCCAGGCCAGAGCUGACAGCAGCUGGGAGUGGAGGCAGAGAUGGCGGAGAGGUCCCAAGAAAAGGGCCCUCUCUGCUUUCAGGACAGUAAAUAGUCCCCCUCGUGAGGUUUGCAGGGGGAUGCAAGGCUUGGGGGGCAGGGAGGGGAGGGGACCCCAAGGAGGAGGGGAGGACUGAGCACCAGAGGGUGUGGGGUGCUUUCAGGUUCAUGCAUGCAUGCAUGGAUGUGGGGUGAGAUGCGGGACUGGGCACACCCCAUGGGGUGGGCCAGGGGUGGGAAGCCUGAGCAUGCAGUGCCCAGGGGGGUCUCGAUGAGAUGUCCCGGGGGUCUCUUUGGAGACCCCAAGUCAUGGGAUCCCCUAAACUCUCCGGCAGUUUGCGGUGAUGGCGUGCGGGAUGGGAGUCUCUCCCGGCGCUGCAGGGCUCUGGGGGCCUCCCCUUCGUUCUUGCUCUGGGUGGGAGACAGGAGGAAGGAGCAAUUCAGAAGCCCGGCAGUAGAGAGGAUGCUGUAGGCACAGGCUGAGGCCUGGUUGACCUCUGAGGGUCCAUGAUCUUGACCAAGAGCAGCAGGCAGUGGCCAGGCAGGGCCACGGAAGCCCAGGAUGGACAUCAGAGUAGUGCCCUACCGUGGAGAUCUCGUCCCCUCAGAGGAUCCCGGCCAGCACCUGCACAUCCUGGCGCACACACUGUUAUCAUCAUGAGGACUCCUGGGUAUGAGAAGGGCUGGUGAGGCUCUGAUACCAUCUCCUCCCCAGGAUCCCUGGCAGGCAGCGGAAUCCAGAAGUCCGGGCUGAGCUGAGCAGGGGGAGUGGGGUUGGGGCCUCCCGGGUGGGCCCAGGAGGCUGGUGGCUGUACUCCGUGACUCUGUGGGCCUGGCUUGAGGGGGAAGACAGUGAAUAGUCUGCCUAUUUACUGUCUCCAGCUGGGGCUCCCCUUUGCUGAUGGGGUCCCCUCUCCAGGGUGGCUCCCCUCCACUGAGGGUCUCCUCUCCCUGGACCGAGUGACCCCUGUCUGCGUCAGCAGGUUGGGGGCAGGUGGGGCUGGCUGGCACCUGUCAUUGAUUUAUUAAUAAAUCAAUAAUUUUGGGGGUGGCUGCCUGCUGGAGGUGGGAUGGGUGGUGGAGGAGUCACCUUCACUCUUGUCUAAACCCAUGAGUUUUUGUUCAACACUGGGAUGGGGGAAGCAGCUUGUUAGGACCCUGUUCCCUGAGGAGGGAUGGGUGAGGCUGUUGGGGUGAGGCUGUCUGUCAGCCGUGACCAGAGCUGGCUGAGCUACCCUAGGCUUCAUGUCCCCAGGUGCAGCAUAGCCAUGAGACGCCCAGGGGCCUCUGAUCCCCUUCCUACAAGCUGCGUGUAGUUUAAAGGGUCUGGGAGCGCAGAAGAGGACGCAGGCCUGCUUUUCCACACUGGCUCCGUUCCCUUCGUGCGGGUGCCAGCCAGGCCCGGCCUUUUCUGGCCAGGGUCACCGUGUCCUGGACCCAGCCCUGACCCCUCCGUUCCCUACCGUGUUGUCACCAUCCCCUGUGAGGAGGGACCCCUGAGGCCUCUUUCUCCCGCUCUAGAGGCUCUUCUGGACCCCUGAUCCUCACAGCCUGGGCCUCCCCAGAGGCUUCUGGGGCCACUGGUUCCCCGUACAAGCUGAUACCAGCCGUUAAUGACAUUGCCUUGUUUACUUCAGCAUGAGCUGGGCCACAGAGGGGAAGCUGUGUUGCUGAAGGGGACUCUGAAGAUUCCCAUUGGAGGGGCUGCCUGGCUGAGACCUGAAUAAGUGGGCAGUGCCCAAGAACAGAAAGGGGAGGUUGUCAGAUGCUGGCCAGCCCUGCCUAGCCCCAACCUGCAGACACAGAUAGGGCGGAGGGGUCACCCAACCCAGGAAGGGGAGCUCAUCUAUGGAGGGGAGCCCCCCUGGAGUAGGGACCCCAUCAGAGGACCCCGUCAGCAGAGGGGAGCCCCCCCGGAGAGGGGACCCUGUCAGCAGAGGGGAGCCCCACCUGGAGAGGGGACCCUGUCAGCAGAGGGGAGCCCCACCUGGAGAGGGGACCUCAUCAGCUGAGAGGAGACCCACCUGGAGAGGAGACCCUGUCAGCAGAGAGGAGACCUAGCUGGAGAGGGGACCCUGUCAGCAGAGAGCAGCCUCACCUGGAGAAGGGACUUCAUCAGCCAAGGGAGCCCCAGAUGGAAAGGAGACCCUGUCAGUGGAGAGGAGCCCCAGCUGAAGAGGGGACCCCAUCAGUGGAGGGAGCCCAGCUGAAGAGGGGACCACAUCAGUGGAGGGAGACCCAGCUGGAGAGGGGACCCCAUCAGUGGAGGGAGCCACAGCUGGAGAGGGGACCCCAUCAGUGGAGGGAGCCCCAGCUAGAGAGGGGACCCCAUCAGCAGAGGGAAGCCACAGCUGGAGAGGGGAACCCAUCAACAGAGGGGAACCCACAGGGGUAUCCAGAGGGAAGGCCAGGUUGGGUAUCCUGGGAGUGGGAAGUUGGGUCAGAGGUGAGGCUUUUGCAGCGAGCAAGCUUGUUUCAGGUUGGGAGUGCCCAGCGGGCAGUGGGGGUUGGUGGACGCAGCAGGGAGGAAGUUCCAGGGUCUUUGACAGCGGCUGCUCCCCACUGCAGAGCUGACAAUCUCUUGAGGACUCCAAGAAUGAACGGAUGGCCAAGCCUGGGCCUCCACUGGGAACAGCACCACUGUGGAAGAGGAGGGAGGUUGUGCUCAUGUAGGGGGCAGGCUGGAGAGACAAGCUUUGGGUGGAUGAUGGUUUGCUUCUUAGGUGAAGGAAAAUGAAGAGCCACCUGCAGCCAUCGCUCUGCUCUCCAAAUCAAUCCUGAAUAAGUGGGAGAGAAAAACUUAAAAAUGAGACCAGUGAAUGGAAUGGGAGGUGGGACGAGGAUGUGGCAGAAGAGGGGGCCGCCCCACUCCUGUUGGACGUGGGGGCACUGGGAGCCACAUGCAUGCCAGGGACGCCGAGCCCCUGGCCCUGGGCCAGCCUCACUGGCAGUGGCUGGGGACAGUGGGUCUCUGUGCCUCCUCCUCGUCUCUGCGGUCCCUGGCUGGGUGCCCACCCUCUCCCUCAUCUCGCCGUCUGCCUUCCUUUCAUUUCUUUUUGGCAUGGUUCUCUCACUGUCCAGGAAGGAACUUGGCGUCUUGCACCCCAGGCGGGCAGAGCCAGGAGCCCAGCUGACCCAGAAGGGCUCGGGUGGAGUGGGUGGGUGGUGGGAAAGCAGCUGGAGCCCCUGAAUGCAGAGCCUGCCCCGUCUGCCGUGCCUGGAGGGCACCCCUCACUCCUCAGGCUCUCCAGAAGGUCAGCUAUGGGGGCAGGGUCUGGGCCCAUUCUGGACCCUGCUGUAUCCCAGGAACCAUUUAAAUGGAGGCCUGGCACAGACUAGGGGUUCAUUUGUUAAAUGAAUAAGCAAAGCUCAAAGCCCCCUAUGUUCCUUGCCUGAGCCAAGAAGGAAGCCUGGGCCUGGCCUCUGAGUCCACCCACCCUCCUUGUGAGGUAGGAAGGCAGUGGCAUUGCAUAACUGACCACCUACGGGACCGGGCCACGCCGAGAGGGAGCAGGCGCCUUGAUGCUCCUAGAUCGUCGGCCAGACUCCCCCUCCCCAGUCCUUGGAGCCUCCUUGCUUCUUCAACCCCUGUCAGAGUCCGUGGGGCAAGGCGAGACUGGGAACACUGUCUCCUCCCCCAGACGUGGCUGAUCUCAGCCUGGAGCCCCACCCCAGGGCUGCACAGGACCAGGGUCCAGAUCAUCAGCCCAGGAUGCACGGUGGACUGUGUGUGCCCAGCACUCGUGCACCGAGAGACCCGUCUUGUUUCCCAUGAGCCCCUCGGUGCUGGGUGCCGGGUGAGAGCAUAGCCCUGGUGACCCUGGUGGUCUUCUCCAGACUCUGAUGUUUCCUUCCAGUCCCCCGGCCCUCCCCUCAAUGUGCAGUGUGUGUGGGUUGAGGGGGCUGCUGUGGUCUGAAUGUGUCCCCCAUCUCUGUAAUCAUGAUGGACUAACAUCAUUGUCAUGGGAGCGGGCUCUGACAGAAGGAGGAGUUUGGUCCCCUUCUCUCUGGCUGUCUCUCUCCCUCUCUUUGCCCUUCUGUCGUGGGAUAAGGCAGCACAAAGGCCCUUGCCAGAGGUGGCCUGUCGAUCUCGGACCUCCCAGCCUCUAGGACCAGGGGCCAAUAAGUUAGCCAGUCUGUGGUUUUCUGUUCUAACAGCACACGAUGGACUAAGACCACAGGCCAAGUCUCCCCAGUGUAUCACCAUUAGGCCACACCCUGAUACGGUUUGGAUCUGUGUACCUGCCUAAAUCUCAUGUUGAAUUGUAAUCCCCAAUGCUGGAGGUGGCGCCUGCUGGGAGGUGAUUGGCUCAUGGGGGUGGAUUUCCCCCCAGUGCUGUUCUUGUGAUAGUGAGUUCUCAGGAGACCUGCUUGUUUAAAGGCAUAUGGCACCUCCCCUCUCUUCCUCUGGGCUUCCUCCUGCUCCGGCCACGUGAAGUGCCAGCUCCUCCUUUGCCUUCUGCCAUGAUUGUAAGUUUCCUGAGCCCGCCCCCAGAAGCCAUGUGGAUGCCAGCACCAUGCUUUCUGUAUAGCCUGGGGAACUGUAAGCCAAUUAAACCUCCUUUCUUUAUGAAUUA